RNAcentral lists this long non-coding RNA (209 nucleotides) under Mytilus galloprovincialis (Mediterranean mussel). Lineage: Eukaryota; Metazoa; Mollusca; Bivalvia; Mytilida; Mytilidae. The record is from RNAcentral.
GGCAUCAAUCUUUACGCCUCGUUUCGCUCACUUGAAUUGUUAAAACCUGAAAAUUUAGUUUCAACAAUUUCUUCUAGCAGAGAAUUUUUCAUCUGAUGCUAUUAUUGAAUGAAGGUGUGGUAAAUAUUAAUGAAACCACAAACGGCAAAUCCAAACUAAGUUCCCUGAAGUCGCAAACAACUUUCAUACUUCAGUACUUUGAUUAUAUA